Long non-coding RNA from Pseudophryne corroboree (corroboree frog), 656 nucleotides. RefSeq lists it as uncharacterized. NCBI's taxonomy places the organism in Eukaryota, Metazoa, Chordata, Amphibia, Anura, Myobatrachidae. The record is from RefSeq and is a predicted model, not a curated record. The transcript is spliced from 2 exons.
GAGGCUGGCUGAUGCUGGCUAGUGUGACAGUUGGGGGCAUUUGGAGCAUGCAUCUUAGGUGAGAGGACAUAGAGGGGAGUGGUGAUGCAGCUCCUCCCCUUGAGAUGAGCAGUGAGCAGCCAUCUUUGGAACAGAGAUAGAGAGAGGAGAGUGUUGUCUUGAAGCUUACAUGCUCUCCAUGAUCCCGGCAUCCCCUUACAGUGAAUCAGUAGCCUGGUCAUCAUGAUGGCCACAUCUCAUGUCUCUCCAGCUCCCAGUGGCUGUGUGAAGGCGGCGGUGCUACAUUGGUGUGGAGUGGAUACAGAGAGUCCUUUGCAGUACAGCUAGACAGCAGAGCAGAUCACUAUGAAAGUAUACAUAACAGCACUUCCUUGGUUGUACCGGAAAAUUAAGAAAAAGGGAGGAAAGGAAUGAAGAAAGGAGGAAAUAAAGAAAAAGGAAUCAAAGGAAGGAAGGAAAGAAAUUAGGGAGGUCUAGAGAUGUGCAUACUUGGCUUUUCCCACCAGACUCGGAUUCCAAACCGAGGCAAGACGUCAUCAUCCAAGCAUUGGGUUUUGCAGGUUUUGUAUUCGUUAUAAGGGAGCUUGGCACAAUUUCACUCCCUUCCUGCUAGGAUGUCUGCAAUAAAGUGUAAAUAUGUUUAAUUAAUACAAAAA